UACGGAGGAUCCGAGCGUUAUCCGGAAUUAUUGGGUUUAAGGGGUGCGUAGGCGGACCCUUAAGUCAGUGGUGAAAGUUUGCAGCUCAACUGUAAAAUUGCCAUUGAACCUGAGGGUCUUGAGUGUAAAUGAGGUAGGCGGAAUGUGUUGUGUAGCGGUGAAAUGCUUAGAUAUAACACAGAACACCAAUUGCGAAGGCAGCUUACUAGAAUACAACUGACGCUGAGGCACGAAAGCGUGGGGAUCAAACAGG
RNAcentral lists this ribosomal RNA (253 nucleotides) under uncultured bacterium. RNAcentral describes it as "partial 16S ribosomal RNA". It matches the Rfam family "Bacterial small subunit ribosomal RNA", at positions 524 to 776 of the family's 1533-position model. The record is from RNAcentral.